CAAUGGGAAGAGUGUGACGUCAAGAGGUGUUCUUACUUCUGGAUCCCUGCAAUAGGGCCUGAAGAAAACAAGCAUAUCCCACCAGCAGGAGCCAAAAUAUUGAGAGACAGAUAGCAUGGGGACUCUUAUCUCCAUAUUGGUGUCGGUCUGUCCUCCAAGCUUAGCUGCUACUAUCAUUUCCUGACUGCCUCAUGUUUUCAUCUGUCCAUAGGUCUGCUUUAAGGCUCGUCAGUUCUGCAUGAAAGGAAAAGCCGAGGAGGAGACUGUCUCAAAUCUCUGGAGGACCCCUGAAGUCUGCUGUGGGGCUUAACAUCACUUGAACACAGACAGGAGGAAGAAAUUGCAGCGCAUCAGUGAAGAUCCACCUGCAGUGGCAGGUCCUGUGGUGUUGGAGUUGCUGCUAAAUAACCACUCUCAUCUGGUCUGCACCCACCCAGGAACCAUCCAUCCUUCCCCAGCCUGGUUGUGCCUCUUCUGCACUUUAUCUGUAUUAUUGACUGAGACUGUGCUUGGGUAGAACCAUCCCUGAUUCCUGGAGUAAGAACCCACUGUAAUUCUUGUUUCCAGCUUUAUAUUCUAAGUCAUCAGAGAUCAGAGUGUGAAGAUACAAUUCUGUGACAUAUCUGUGGUUAAGACUUACUCUUGGAGAGGGGUAUAAACUG
This 662-nucleotide long non-coding RNA is filed under the name Castor canadensis (American beaver). Its description in RNAcentral is "lncRNA (ENSCCNG00000003283.1)". Lineage: Eukaryota; Metazoa; Chordata; Mammalia; Rodentia; Castoridae. The record is from RNAcentral.